Molecule: ribosomal RNA, 1338 nt
Filed under: uncultured bacterium
Lineage: Bacteria
Description: 16S ribosomal RNA
Rfam family: Bacterial small subunit ribosomal RNA
Source: RNAcentral
ACGCUGGCGGCGUGCUUAACACAUGCAAGUCGAACGGAAAGGCCCUGCUUUUGUGGGGUGCUCGAGUGGCGAACGGGUGAGUAACACGUGAGUAACCUGCCCUUGACUUUGGGAUAACUUCAGGAAACUGGGGCUAAUACCGGAUAGGAGCUCCUGCUGCAUGGUGGGGGUUGGAAAGUUUCGGCGGUUGGGGAUGGACUCGCGGCUUAUCAGCUUGUUGGUGGGGUAGUGGCUUACCAAGGCUUUGACGGGUAGCCGGCCUGAGAGGGUGACCGGCCACAUUGGGACUGAGAUACGGCCCAGACUCCUACGGGAGGCAGCAGUGGGGAAUAUUGCACAAUGGGCGGAAGCCUGAUGCAGCAACGCCGCGUGCGGGAUGACGGCCCUCGGGUUGUAAACCGCUUUCGCCUGUGACGAAGCGUGAGUGACGGUAAUGGGUAAAGAAGCACCGGCUAACUACGUGCCAGCAGCCGCGGUGAUACGUAGGGUGCGAGCGUUGUCCGGAUUUAUUGGGCGUAAAGGGCUCGUAGGUGGUUGAUCGCGUCGGAAGUGUAAUCUUGGGGCUUAACCCUGAGCGUGCUUUCGAUACGGGUUGACUUGAGGAAGGUAGGGGAGAAUGGAAUUCCUGGUGGAGCGGUGGAAUGCGCAGAUAUCAGGAGGAACACCAGUGGCGAAGGCGGCUCUCUGGGCCUUUCCUGACGCUGAGGAGCGAAAGCGUGGGGAGCGAACAGGCUUAGAUACCCUGGUAGUCCACGCUGUAAACGGUGGGUACUAGGUGUGGGGUCCAUUCCACGGGUUCCGUGCCGUAGCUAACGCUUUAAGUACCCCGCCUGGGGAGUACGGCCGCAAGGCUAAAACUCAAAGGAAUUGACGGGGCCCCGCACAAGCGGCGGAGCAUGCGGAUUAAUUCGAUGCAACGCGUAGAACCUUACCUGGGUUUGACAUGGAUCGGGAGUGCUCAGAGAUGGGUGUGCCUCUUUUGGGGUCGGUUCACAGGUGGUGCAUGGCUGUCGUCAGCUCGUGUCGUGAGAUGUUGGGUUAAGUCCCGCAACGAGCGCAACCCUUGUUCACUGUUGCCAGCACGUUAUGGUGGGGACUCAGUGGAGACCGCCGGGGUCAACUCGGAGGAAGGUGGGGAUGACGUCAAGUCAUCAUGCCCCUUAUGUCCAGGGCUUCACGCAUGCUACAAUGGCUGGUACAGAGAGUGGCGAGCCUGUGAGGGUGAGCGAAUCUCGGAAAGCCGGUCUCAGUUCGGAUUGGGGUCUGCAACUCGACCUCAUGAAGUCGGAGUCGCUAGUAAUCGCAGAUCAGCAACGCUGCGGUGAAUACGUUCCCGGG